UGUAUAGUAUAUUCAAAAAGCGGCGGUC
This 28-nucleotide small RNA is filed under the name Bombyx mori (domestic silkworm). RNAcentral's name for it is "ovarian small RNA-35455". The record is from RNAcentral. Lineage: Eukaryota; Metazoa; Arthropoda; Insecta; Lepidoptera; Bombycidae.